GAUGAAGAACGUAGCGAAAUGCGAUACUUGGUGUGAAUUGCAGAAUCCCGCGAAUCAUCGAGUUUUUGAACGCAAGUUGCGCCCGAAGCCAUUCGGCCGAGGGCACGUCUGCCUGGGUGUCACGCAUCGUUGCCCCCCCAAACUCCGGUUCGGGCGGGGCGGAAGUUGGCCUCCCGUGCGUGCCUGCGCGCGCGGUUAGCCCAAAAGCGAGUCCUCGGCGAUGAGCGCCACGACAAUCGGUGGUUUUUUUACCCUCGUUCCUCGUCGUGCGUGCCCCGUCGCCCGAACGCGCUCUUGCAACCCUUACGCGUCGCCUCGGUGGCGCUCCCAACGCGGCCCCAGGUCAGGCGGGACUACCCGCUGAGUUUAAGCAUAUCAAUAAGCGGAGGA
Molecule: unclassified non-coding RNA, 390 nt
Filed under: soil metagenome
Description: partial contains 5.8S ribosomal RNA, internal transcribed spacer 2, and large subunit ribosomal RNA
Rfam family: 5.8S ribosomal RNA (bases 1-122)
Source: RNAcentral